GACGUAGGGCGCGAGCGUUGUCCGGAUUUAUUGGGCGUAAAGAGCUCGUAGGCGGCUUGUCGCGUCGUGUGUGAAAUCUCAGGGCUCAACUCUGACAUUGCAUACGAUACGGGCAGGCUUGAGUUCGGUAGGGGAGACUGGAAUUCCUGGUGUAGCGGUGAAAUGCGCAGAUAUCAGGAGGAACACCGGUGGCGAAGGCGGGUCUCUGGGCCGAGAUUGACGCUGAGGCGCGAAAGCCAGGGGAGCAAACGGG
RNAcentral lists this ribosomal RNA (253 nucleotides) under uncultured bacterium. RNAcentral's name for it is "partial 16S ribosomal RNA". It matches the Rfam family "Bacterial small subunit ribosomal RNA", at positions 524 to 776 of the family's 1533-position model. The record is from RNAcentral.